GUAGUGCUUCCUCCGUUCAACAAAAAAUGUCUCAAAUUUAUUAAAAUUUGGAUGUAUCUAGAUAUGACUUAGUGUGUAGAUGCAUUCAAAUUUAGUCAAAAUGAAGACAUCCUUUGUUGGACGGAGGGAGUACAGU
This is a non-coding RNA of Brachypodium distachyon (stiff brome), 136 nucleotides long. The record is from Rfam. NCBI's taxonomy places the organism in Eukaryota, Viridiplantae, Streptophyta, Magnoliopsida, Poales, Poaceae.